RNAcentral lists this ribosomal RNA (554 nucleotides) under Laevicardium crassum. RNAcentral's name for it is "SSU rRNA". It matches the Rfam family "Eukaryotic small subunit ribosomal RNA", at positions 67 to 549 of the family's 1831-position model. The record is from RNAcentral. Lineage: Eukaryota; Metazoa; Mollusca; Bivalvia; Cardiida; Cardiidae.
CUUCCAUUGUGGGGGCGAGACUGCGGACGGCUCAUUAAAUCAGUUAUGAUUCCCAGGAGCCAGCGAAAUCUACUUGGAUAACUGUGGCAAUUCUAGAGCUAAUACAUGCUACUGAAGCUUCGUCGCCGCCUUCCUCGCGGAGGUGGCAGGAGCGCACUUGUUAGCCUCAAACCAAUCGGGUGUCCGCCGUCCGCGACGGGCGUGGUUCGCUGCGUCCGCAGGGCGGUGGCGCGCCGGUACCUCUGGUGAAUUCUGGACAACUUUGCCGAUCGCAUGGCCUUUGCGCCGGCGACAUAUCUUUCAAGUGUCUGACCUAUCACACUAGAUGGUUUGCGCUCUGCGCACCAUGGUGACAACGGGUGACGGGGAAUCAGGGUUCGAUUCCGGAGAGGGAGCAUGAGAAACGGCUGCCACAUCCAAGGAAGGCAGCAGGCACGCAACUUACCCAAUGCCGAAACGGCGAGGUAGUGACGAAAAAUAACAAUACGGGACCCUCUUUACGAGUUCCCGCAAUUGAAAUGAGUACAUUCUAAACCCUUUAACGAGGAUCAAUU